GUGGCUGCAAGAACAUACUGCUCAUGCAGAUGAGAAACCUCUUUUUGGAGCAAGCCAGCCAGCAGGUAUUGGAUGUUGUGCCGGCAACCAAUUCAACUGAUUUGGUCGAUUCAGAACCUCCUCUCAUUGACUUGUCAUCAGGGCCUGCACAAGCCAUCGCACUCCCUUUGCAAGCCAACCUUUCAAAAGCCAUCCCUUCAAAAGCUAUCCCUCUUCCUCCUGCUCCCAAGAAGCCAAAAAUUGAGACGGCAACAAGCACUGCUGCUCUUGAAGCCACGUCCCAGUCUGACAAACAACAACAACUUCAUAAGAAAGGCAAUAUAUUACACAAAUUUCCAUGUUUUACGUAAUAAUGUUUGUUCUGCAGCUGCAGUGUUGAAGAACAUGCAUGUGACGUUCGGCCAGAAUAUGAUGAAUGUCUUCAAGGGCCGUCCUGAGUGGAGUGAUGCUGUUGAGAGUGUGGAAAUGAACCACAAGCGGAAGGGAAAACGCACCAAGGAGAUUCAGGAGUGCUGCAUUUGUCUCAAUGACGAGAGAGAUGUGGCAUUUGUGCCCUGUGGCCACACCGUGUGUUGCAAGACCUGUUCUGCGCAGGUGAAACACUGUCCAAUCUGCAGGAUGUAUAUCAAGAACAAGAUCAAUCUCUUUUACUCUUAAGAUUUGAAACUCAUGAAAUAUUUACGUGCCUAAAAAGGCCCAGAAUUAUGAAACAUAUGUGUAACGUGUCAAAAACUGCAUACGAUUGAUUAAUGCUAAAGAUGAGAAUAUCUAAAUAGAAUUAUUGUUAUACAUUCAGUUUCUCAAACCCAUGGUUAUUGAUCAACAAAAUAUUUAUGAAGCUGACAGCCUUCGGUCAAAAUUAAUUUACUCAUCAAUUUUGAGGUCUUGCGUUAAUAAUGAUAAGUAUAGAAAGUCAUUAUUGAAAGAAUUAAUUUAAAGAACUGCAGUGACCCUGUAUUAAUUGUGAAAUUCUAAAAUGCAUUAUUAUUAUUGAAAACUUAUGAAAAUAAAACCAAAACAAUUAAAUUC
Molecule: long non-coding RNA, 1029 nt
Organism: Cloeon dipterum
Lineage: Eukaryota; Metazoa; Arthropoda; Insecta; Ephemeroptera; Baetidae
Exons: 2
Source: RefSeq, a predicted model, not a curated record